GGCCUGGUUGUCCGGUCCGCCGAAAGGCGUGUACUGGACCGACUGGGCCUUUCCUUCUGGGGAACCAGUAUGCUCUUUAUUGAGUGUGCUGGGGAUCCAGGACUUUUACUUUGAAAAAAUUAGAGUGUUUAAAGCAGGCAUAUGCUUGAAUACAUUAGCAUGGAAUAAUAGAAUAGGACU
Molecule: ribosomal RNA, 180 nt
Filed under: uncultured Glomeromycotina
Lineage: Eukaryota; Fungi; Glomeromycota
Description: partial small subunit ribosomal RNA
Rfam family: Eukaryotic small subunit ribosomal RNA (bases 50-180)
Source: RNAcentral